This 3102-nucleotide long non-coding RNA is filed under the name Capsicum annuum. RNAcentral's name for it is "long non-coding RNA (CANN_LNC007613)". Lineage: Eukaryota; Viridiplantae; Streptophyta; Magnoliopsida; Solanales; Solanaceae. The record is from RNAcentral.
UCGGUUGUCUUUCUGCCUUUUAUUUCUUUCUCUGAAUAAUGGUCGGGACAAAAUUUUGUCUUGUUGUCUACUUCUUUAUCUGAAAACGCUUUGUGUUUACAUUCAAAGGGGUCAUGAUAUAGACACCUAAUUUCGUCCCUCCUCGAUAUCAUUUUUACCCAUUCUACCUUAUCCUACCGUGUACCCUCACCCAUGUUAUUAUACCUUCCAUAAAAUGAUAAAAAAUAACAACCUCUAACUAAUUUUAUUUUUAUUCUAACAACCUAUCCAAUAAAAAAUAAAAAACCACUACCCCACCUACCCUAACAAAUUUUAUCUUAACCAACUCACCCUACCCUACCUCACUACCCUAGAUCCCCUCCCCUUUUCUUUAAUGAAAUCACGCACAAAGAGGGGAUUUUCCAUUGUUUUCUUUCUCUGAACACUACAAUACGCAUGGGAAAGCAACAUAAUUCGUAAAAAAAUACUCCCACUUCAUAUAUCUAUGCACACACACACAAUCACAUAGGUAUACAUAUACUGUCACCACACAGUAAAAAGGAGGGAGGAUUAGGCGCACAGUGAAGAAGAGACAAGGGAGAGAGAGAAAGCACGAACACCGGUUAUGAAAGUGAUCGAAAGACUGAGAAGAAGAUGGGAGGAAAAUCCGGUCAGCUCGCUGGAAUAUACUUUCACCGGUGACUAAGCUCUUUGUUAGAAAAUGACCCGAAGGACCCGAAAAACAGUAGUCGGCAACCAAAUCAACUGCAGUAGUUCACGGGCUGCUUGAAAUUUCACCGCAUACACGCUAAAAUUGAUUAAAACCAUCCUAAACAUCAAAAAACAAAAGUGGGUUUGUCUUUGGGAUUUCGGGAAUCGAGUUUGAGGUCUGUUCGUGGUUCAUGGGUUCAUGAGGCUCCCAUCGCUGUUGAAAUUGGUUCAAGUUGAGUGAAUAAAAUUCUCAUUUGAGCUUCAAUUCUUCUCUUUCCAUCUUUUAUUUUAUUGUUGGUGAUGUUUGAUGCGUUGGAUUGAAUAUCGUUAAUUGCUUGUGUGUGAUGUGAAUGAUGAACAUUGAGUUUACAGGAGUUGUGGAUUGUUGGAAAUAGCAGUGUGUUUGUUAUGUUUGAAUCUUUGUUGUGAGUUGAUUGAUAUUGUUUUCAGACUUUGAAAAGUGAAUUGAUAAUCGAAGCAUGUGCUAAUCAUUGCUUGAGCAUGAAAUUAGGGGGUUGGAAAUUGAAAGAUUGAUUUGGUGAAUAUUUAUUAUUUUGUUAAUUGUCGAACACGAUUGUAUCAUGUUUAGACCAAAAUUUAUAGGCAAAUUCUAGAUUUUGGGGCAGGAAACUCGUAGGAUUCUAAUCAUCGAAUGUGUAAAUGUUUGUGUUGAGUGAUUUUCUUUAUUUUUAUCACAUUUUAUUAAAUGUAUUUAUUUAGCCGGGGAAUGCUCCGAGGCUCAUGGUAUUCAUUCACCGGGGAAUUUCCCGACGUAUUAUGUCUUCAAAGGAGGUUCGCGAUCAAGGCCCGAGGCAUCGGGUAAAACAACAGGGGCGUAGUUAGGAUUAGUGUAGAUUAUAGUAAGAUUUAUUUUUUGAAUUUUUUAUUUUGGACUGUAUAAUUGGACUAGACACUAUAUUUUGAAUUUGUUUUGUUUUGUGUGUUUGAUUGAUUGUUUUAUGUGUUUUUGGGUGGUUUAUACAUUUUAUAGUGUCAAAUUAGCCGAUAUGAUCCACCAAGCGACCGUGGUCAAACCACGGGAUCGAGGGGUGCCUAUCACCUUCCCCUAGGUCAACAGAAUUUCUUAGCCGGAAUCUCUAUUCGCAAACCAAUUUUAAAGAGUCAAAAUCAUUUUGAAAAGGAUUUUCAAAGGUGACUUGGCACACCGAAUUUAUGUCAGGUGGCAACUCUGAAUAAAAAAUAUAAAUAAUCCUUUUUUGAAACAAAACUUUCAUCUUUUGUCACUUUGAUAAUAAAACCCUUUCGAAUUUUAGAAUUUAUCUAUUGGUUAAAAAAGGGGUGUGACAAUUGUUUAAGCCUUGAUUUUGGAUAUGAACUGAAGAGAAGGUGAUUUUUGUUAAUAUAAAUGAAAAGUGGUGAUUUAAAGAGAUUGCAUGGUUUGUUACAAAAUACUUGACCAUGAUCACAUGUUUGUUGAAAUGUUGAAAAGAAAGAAUCCCUGCAUAGUUUGAAAUAUGUUUUGAAAUAUGAAUCCUCUUGUACCGUUUGAAUGAUUUGGUGGUCCAAACACUUUGUUUUGAAUGAAAGUAUUGUAACAUGAUACUAUAUGUCUUAGACAUAUGACUUGCAAGUAUUGGUAUGGCGAUACCAAAGUUAGACAAUGCGAUAACAGACUUAGAACAGAAUAGAAGUUAGAUUUCAAUUAGAUUUUCAGACUUUGAGUUUUGAAAGAUGCAUGUUCAGAAAAGGUUAAAAAUGGGUUUAAGAGAUGUUAGGUGGUUACCCGAAGAAGGCACAAGUUCAGCUAACUCAUUGCCCGAAAUCGUAUUUUUUCGAUAUGGGUUAUUAUGUUCCCCAGAGGAAUUAUACGCCGGUUUAGUGCCCUGUGGCGUAUCAGACUCAGACACUCCAACCUUUGAGGCAAACUUGGGUCGGGGGCUUACCCGUCGAGUAAAUGGCAGAUUCCAUAUAUCCCGUGGAAUAUCAGACUUGUAGGGUGUACCACCUAGCUCAGAACUAAGACAAAGAUGUUGAGUUGAUUUUCAGAACUGUUUUUAAAAAGCCUAUUUACAAUGCCCAUGGAUUUUCAAAUGGUUGAUGAUGACGUACUUUUCAUGAAAUGUUCUCACUUAUAUUAUAUAUUAUUAUUUUAUUUUUGGACGAUUCUGUGUACCAGUACAUUUGUAUUGACCCCCUAUAUUUCAGGAUCCGAGGCUCAAUCUAGUGGUUCCGCUAAGCCGUAGAUUUGUCAGACAGAAGUGUGCAGUUGGUGAGCCUUCCUUAUGUCGAAAAUCCUGUUUUUAGAACAUUAUUAUUUCAUUUUAUUUUGGUCCGACUGGGGACUUUGUCCCAGUCUUUAGACAGAUGUUGGUUUUCACAUUGUAAGAGAUUUUGCAGACUGGUGUCAUAUGUUUCCGAAUGUUAUGAAACUCAAGUUUCGUAUUGUUCAGC